GAGUUUGAUCCUGGCUCAGAACGAACGCUGGCGGCAGGCUUAACACAUGCAAGUCGAGCGAAGACUUCGGUCUUAGCGGCGGACGGGUGAGUAACGCGUGGGAACGUGCCCUUUGCUACGGAAUAGUCCCGGGAAACUGGGUUUAAUACCGUAUGAGCUCUUCGGAGGAAAGAUUUAUCGGCAAAGGAUCGGCCCGCGUUGGAUUAGGUAGUUGGUGGGGUAAUGGCCUACCAAGCCGACGAUCCAUAGCUGGUUUGAGAGGAUAAUCAGCCACACUGGGACUGAGACACGGCCCAGACUCCUACGGGAGGCAGCAGUGGGGAAUCUUAGACAAUGGGGGCAACCCUGAUCUAGCCAUGCCGCGUGAGCGAUGAAGGCCUUAGGGUUGUAAAGCUCUUUCGCUGGGGAAGAUAAUGACGGUACCCAGUAAAGAAGCCCCGGCUAACUCCGUGCCAGCAGCCGCGGUAAUACGGAGGGGGCUAGCGUUGUUCGGAAUUACUGGGCGUAAAGCGCGCGUAGGCGGAUUGGAAAGUUGGGGGUGAAAUCCCGGGGCUCAACCUCGGAACUGCCUCCAAAACUAUCAGUCUGGAGUUCGAGAGAGGUGAGUGGAAUUGCGAGUGUAGAGGUGAAAUUCGUAGAUAUUCGCAGGAACACCAGUGGCGAAGGCGGCUCACUGGCUCGAUACUGACGCUGAGGUGCGAAAGUGUGGGGAGCAAACAGGAUUAGAUACCCUGGUAGUCCACACCGUAAA
RNAcentral lists this ribosomal RNA (751 nucleotides) under uncultured bacterium. RNAcentral describes it as "bacterial SSU rRNA". It matches the Rfam family "Bacterial small subunit ribosomal RNA", at positions 9 to 806 of the family's 1533-position model. The record is from RNAcentral.